ACUUGAAUAGCUUAUAAGUAGAGCAUGGUAUUGAAGAUACCAAGGAAAUAUAAUUAUUUUCAAGUA
RNAcentral lists this transfer RNA (66 nucleotides) under Neoplocaederus obesus. RNAcentral describes it as "tRNA-Phe". Lineage: Eukaryota; Metazoa; Arthropoda; Insecta; Coleoptera; Cerambycidae. The record is from RNAcentral.